RNAcentral lists this non-coding RNA (59 nucleotides) under uncultured Synechococcus sp. RNAcentral's name for it is "psbNH RNA". It matches the Rfam family "psbNH RNA". Lineage: Bacteria; Bacillati; Cyanobacteriota; Cyanophyceae; Synechococcales; Synechococcaceae. The record is from RNAcentral.
GGGUGAGGUUAAGUCUCGGUACUGUAAAGGUCAUGGCCCUGAUUCAGGCCGAACCUGUC